Molecule: transfer-messenger RNA, 357 nt
Filed under: bacterium
Lineage: Bacteria
Rfam family: transfer-messenger RNA
About the family: Bacterial tmRNA, also known as 10Sa RNA or SsrA, is named for its dual tRNA and mRNA-like properties.
Source: RNAcentral
GGGGGCGAAUCUGGCUUCGACGUGAGUUCUGACGCCACCGGUUGCAGGCCGAGGUUGCUGGCCCCCUCGUUAAACAGCUGGCAAAAAAAACAAAAGACAAUAGCGUAAGCUAUAACUUGGCUGCUUAAAUAAGUAGCCCGUCCCCAAUGUCCGCUCCUGCCGGGUGUUGAAGGACGCCAUCAUGCGGGAUGGUCCGUCGGUUGCGUCUCUGGAUUGACGGGCGAGAUUCACAGGGACUGGUCUUUCGGCCCCGGUCUUGAAGGUCACCGAAAGACGAGACACAAAUCAAGACUAAGCCUGUAGGAACCGUGGUUGAUGACUUUCGGACGCGGGUUCGAUUUCCCGCCGCCUCCACAU